This 253-nucleotide ribosomal RNA is filed under the name uncultured bacterium. RNAcentral describes it as "partial 16S ribosomal RNA". It matches the Rfam family "Bacterial small subunit ribosomal RNA", at positions 524 to 776 of the family's 1533-position model. The record is from RNAcentral.
UACGUAGGGGGCAAGCGUUGUCCGGAAUCAUUGGGCGUAAAGAGCGUGUAGGCGGCUUGGUAAGUCCGCUGUGAAAGUCCAGGGCUCAACCCUGGAAUGCCGGUGGAAACUGUCAAGCUUGAGUCCGGAAGGGGCGAGUGGAAUUCCUGGUGUAGCGGUGAAAUGCGCAGAUAUCAGGAGGAACACCAAUGGCGAAGGCAGCUCGCUGGGACGUGACUGACGCUGAGACGCGAAAGCGUGGGGAGCAAACAGG